AUGGAAUUUGGAGUCACAAGGACAAGGGAGCAGAAUCAGCUCUGCCGUCUAUGAACUGAUUUUGAAGAAAGAAAUUCACCUCUCUGAGUCUCAGUUGCUUGAUCUGUUAAAUAGAAAUGGAUCCUAUUAACACAUAGUAGGAAAAUAAACAAGUUACAAUGGUGAUUAAGGGUCUCAAACCAGGAAGACAGGAGACAAAUCAGAUCAUAUUACAGAUGUGUAGUAAUCCAUUGAAAGGAUGUCUCAGGAUGGAUUUAAGAAGAGCUUUGCAAAUGGCCAUUCAGGGUAGUUUCUGGUCUUUCACUAUUAGAAGCAAUUCUUCAAUAAAGAGACUUACACAUUUGUC
Long non-coding RNA from Equus caballus (horse), 346 nucleotides. Lineage: Eukaryota; Metazoa; Chordata; Mammalia; Perissodactyla; Equidae. The record is from Ensembl.